RNAcentral lists this ribosomal RNA (325 nucleotides) under uncultured eukaryote. RNAcentral's name for it is "partial 18S ribosomal RNA". It matches the Rfam family "Eukaryotic small subunit ribosomal RNA", at positions 1470 to 1796 of the family's 1831-position model. The record is from RNAcentral.
CCCUUAGAUGUUCUGGGCUGCACGCGCGCUACACUGAUGCGCUCAACGAGUUUAUGACCUUGCCCGGAAGGGUUGGGUAAUCUUUUCAAAACGCAUCGUGAUGGGGAUAGAUUAUUGCAAUUAUUAAUCUUCAACGAGGAAUUCCUAGUAAGCGCGAGUCAUCAGCUCGUGCUGAUUACGUCCCUGCCCUUUGUACACACCGCCCGUCGCACCUACCGAUUGAAUGGUCCGGUGAAAUCUCCGGACUGGCGUGAGUCGGAGCAAUCUGACAAACACCGGAAAGUUGAUUAAACCUUACCAUUUAGAGGAAGGUGAAGUCGUAACA